RNAcentral lists this ribosomal RNA (460 nucleotides) under uncultured bacterium. RNAcentral's name for it is "partial 16S ribosomal RNA". It matches the Rfam family "Bacterial small subunit ribosomal RNA", at positions 338 to 795 of the family's 1533-position model. The record is from RNAcentral.
CCUACGGGAGGCAGCAGUGAGGAAUCUUGGUCAAUGGACGAGAGUCUGAACCAGCCAAGUAGCGUGAAGGAUGACUGCCCUUUGGGUUGUAAACUUCUUUUAUAUGGGAAUAAAAUGUUCCACGUGUGGGAUUUUGUAUGUACCUUAUGAAUUAGGAUCGGCUAACUCCGUGCCAGCAGCCGCGGUAAUACGGAGGAUCCGAGCGUUAUCCGGAUUUAUUGGGUGUAAAGGGAGCGUAGGUGGGUGGUUAAGUCAGUUGUGAAAGUUUGCGGCUCAACCGUAAAAUUGCAGUUGAAACUGGCAGUCUUGAGUACAGUAGAGGAGAGUGGAAUUCGUGGUGUAGCGGUGAAAUGCUUAGAUAUCACGAAGAACUCCGAUUGCGAAGGCGGCUCACUGGACUGCAACUGACGCUGAGGCGCGAAAGUGUGGGUAUCGAACAGGAUUAGAUACCCGAGUAGUA